UCAACGUUUAAGUGUCUCUUCACUUGCCUAGUCCGAGUGCAGCGUACUGUUCUUCCGUCACUUCGGUCAUCAUCAGAUUUCCGUCAGUGUUAUAUUUUGGCCCAAUUGCUGAAGGAAAAAUACUAAAUUAUUUGCAGAAGGAGGACGGAAUUCCUAAUGUCCCCGUUAUUAAUUUCAAAUAUACCGCUUUUCUUCGAUGAAUUUACCCGUGUUCCGGCAUCGAAUUGAGUAUAGAAAAGGAAAAAAUGUAGAAUAAAGAAUUGCUUGUAUACACCGGACACCGUUUGAAAAUCAUACGUACGACGUACGAAUAUUUUCAAAUGAAUCACUUGUAUUCUUCAAGAAAAUUUCUUAAACACAGGUUUAUGUUAUUACAGGCCUAAAGGUAUAAGGAAACGUUUGCAUUAGUGACCGUGUUCAUAAUAUUGGUACGUUAUUUUUAAUGCUGUAUUUUAAACAUUAAAAAUGGCUGAUGAAGAAGAAGAGAAAGAGUACAGAUGGGAGACUGGUUAUGAAAAGACAUGGGAAGCAAUUAAAGAAGAUGAUCAUGGAUUGUUGGAAGCAUCUGUUGCAGAUAUUAUUCACAAUGCUAAAAGAAAACGUCAGAUGAAUAGAAAGAUUGGUGCCAGAUUAGGAAUGAUGAGACAUCUUUAUAUAAUUCUGGAUGCUUCUGAAUCUAUGUCAAUUCAAGAUUUUAAACCAACACGUUUUUUAUGUUCCUUGAAGCUCUUAGAAGAUUUUGUUGAAGAAUUUUUUUAUCAAAAUCCUAUAAGUCAGUUGGGGGUAAUUAUUACAAGAAACAAAAGAGCAGAAAAAGUGAGCGAAUUAGUUGGAAAUUCUAAAAAGCAUAUUAAGGAAAUACAAAACAUGCAACAGAUGGUACCAGCAGGGGAACCUUCAUUACAGAAUUCCCUGGAACUAGCUUUAAAAUCUUUACGUCUUCUACCUUCACAUGCUAGUAAAGAGAUUCUUAUAAUCAUAGGAGCUCUAACAACUUGUGAUCCAGGAGAUAUUAAUGAAACUAUACAAGGUAUGAAAUCAGAUUGUAUAAGAUGCAGUGUGAUAGGAUUGGCUGCUGAAUUGUAUAUCUGUAAAAGGAUGGCAACAGCAACUGGUGGAGAACAUGGUGUAGCAUUGGACGACAAACAUUACAAGGAACAACUAAAUAUGCAUAUAGAUCCACCACCAGCUGCAACUAGACUGGAUGCUGCUCUUGUAAAAAUGGGUUUUCCACAUCAUGCAUUACAUUCCUCUGUGAAUGAUUCUGCUAUGGCAGUCUGCAUGUGUCAUGCAGAAAACUCUGAAGAAUCUGUUAAACUUAUUAGCACAGGAUAUCUAUGUCCUCAGUGUCUCAGUAAACAUUGUGAACUUCCUGUAGAGUGUAGAGCAUGUGGACUAACGUUAGUAUCAGCACCGCAUUUAGCUCGAUCCUAUCAUUAUUUGUUUCCUGUCGAGCCGUUUACUGAAACUGUAUUUGAUGGAACUCCUUCACUCUGUUAUGGCUGCCAAAAAAAUUUUUCACAAAUGGACAAAAAGAUAUACAUUUGCAAUAAAUGUAGUCAGGCGUUUUGCCUGGAUUGCGAGAUAUUCAUUCACGAAUCUUUACAUACGUGUCCAGGUUGUGCGACGAAUCCAGAUACAUAUCAAAGAUCAAUGGAUAGAUCUUAAUUUAUUAAAUAUUUUACGUUUCGAUGAUAAUAGUAUCGAACAGAAGUUCACAUAAGUUUGAAGCAAAAGGAAAACAAAAGAACAGGAUUUGUCUGUUUACAUCCGAAUGAUACACAGACUUCUUUCCUCUAGGCAAGGAACCCGGGAGAAGUUUUUCGAGCGGUUAACGCAGGCCGCUUUAAAGUUAUGGUGGGAGGUGAUUGAAGUUUAUUAGCUAGCGGACAGGUGGAAGCGAGCAUCGUGAUAUUAGAGCACAUUAUUAGUUUGCGAUCGUCCUCCGACGCGACCGGUUCCACGGUGUCGACCUACUUCCGAUUUAAUUACGUAUGUCCAUCCUGCCCGAACAAAGUGACUUUGUACGUGAGACAUUUUCCACACACCUGGUUUCCUUUCUAAUACACAUCUUCGAGAUCAGUGACCUGAAAUCAUGUACAUCUGGAAUAACUAUUAUCUACUUUUACAAGUUUCAAUUUUCGACGUUUGAAGUUGUGUUUAAGUACUACUUUAUCUUUUUCUAUUUCGCUUUUAAAUUUAACGCGACAAGGAUGUUUAGUAAUGUCACAUACAUGCACGCGCGUGCAUGUGUGCCGUACGUUUUACAUAUCUAGUAAGUGUGACGAUUGUUAGUAAAGAAUGAAAUACAAGGUUUAUUACCUAGGCUUCCUAUGUUAUUACAAAAUGAAAAUAAAUCAUUUCAUGGACAAUUAAUGUGCAAGAAUAAUAUUGUAUUUUAAAUAUUUUCAAAUGAAGUUAUUACAAGAUUCUGGUAGAGUGUGCACAGUGCAAGAACAAAAAAAGAAUUUUUUAAUUUGUUUACGUAUUAAAUUUUCAUUGGUACCGACUUCGGUAAAAUAGUUUUAAUUUAUCUUUUAUAUCAAAGUUGCAAUCGACAAUACUAAUUGUGAUAAAGUGUUUGCUAACUAACGAGACAUUUAAAUCGAAGAUAGUAUCGGUUAUUAAAAAAACAAGCCACUUGUUACUGUUUAUUAUCACAUUUCGCAUGUCACCUUGUAUUCAAUUACUCGAUUUCAUUUAUCAUAAGUAAUUUAUUAUAUUGCUUUAAUUAAUUGAUACGCAUUAAAACAUACAUUCGAUGUUGACAUCAAUUUAUCAGCGUAAUUGGUAUCGUGAAACGAUUACCUUACGUUAAAUAACAUAUCAUUAAUGAACGUGUCUCAUAAAUUUCAGUAGCAAACAAUUUAAAAAAAUAUGUUCUCAUAUAUUAUAAGUAUAAUCAGUAACAUAAAUUGAUAAAACCUUCUGUCUAACAUGAUGGACAUUUUAUCCAGGAAGUUACAAUUUUUUCCUGUAUUAUGACUUUAUUUCUUAAUCCAAACUUUUCUAGAGACAUGAUAAAGCAAAUCUUACACUCCUAACUAUAUCAUCUUGAUUAGAAUUAUUUUAUCAGUCGAAUCAAAUUAACUUUUUAUGUAGAAGAAAGUAUGCUUAGCUUUGCAAUAGGUACUUGUUUAGAAAAAAGCAAUACAAAGUGAGAUCCUAAGAUUAUUUGUAACAUAGCGUCCAAGGUGUAUAAAUCAAAUGAUAGUGUAGCUGCUAUAAAUCAAUCAGUAUUGUUCAAGAAAGUCAAACUCAUCCACUUGCAAUUAUAUUUUAAAUUUGAAGUAUCAUAUCAGUAUCAAAUGGAAAAAUGUAAUCAGAGAAGACAAGGAAGAUAAUUAUAACAAUUAUAAUAAAAUAUACUGUUGAUUUAUAUAUUUGAAAAGAUAAAAGACUUGCAUCGUGAUACAAUGAAUAGUUAAUGAAUUACCAAAUGUUACUUAAUUUUUAUCGCAUUCUUCAUAAAUAUUAAUAUAAAUACUUGUAAGUUACUACAUCAAUUUGUAUAUAAAUUCAAAGUUCAAGCGUGACGCUCAUCAAGUAGCUCAGUGAUUUUCUUUUUCCAUUUUAAUUGUGCCACACGAAGACCAAAUGAAUUCCUUUCUCUUUCGUUAGCGCUUUCAAUUCGCGCAGCAAUAACUGGUUAGCCCGUAACAUUUGAUACUUCGUCUAAGUAUAGGCAUCUCAAAAAAAAAAACAACAUUUUUCUAGGAAAUUAGUCUUGCGAAAUGUAUCACGCUACUUUUCCUCGCAGCAAUGUAACAUGAUUGUCCGUCCGUUCGCAGAAAAACUAGAUCCCCCUCGUUUAUUAUGACACCAGCUUGUCCAGCCGUGAAUUACGAUCGUUUGUCAUGUUUACCAUUUACAUCUUGUACCUCUAUUUUCAUGCCUCGUUUUUGUUAUAUCUCCUUCUACGACCGUCACGAAAGUGAAAAUAUUCUUGUUCCGGCUUUUAAACACGAAUGUUGUCAGACUCGUUAUGUUUCAAGGAUCGACGAAUACAUGUAUAGCUGUUACCACGAAGGACAAAAUUGUUGUUCGUAUUGUUGAUCCAUUUAUACCGAUCGAUCUAUUAAUGCGCACCUGUUAACUCUUUCUAUUGUUACUUAAAUACUAGGAUUUUGUUACGUGAUUGUUUGGGAACUAUGUGGGUACCGUUAUGUUUACGUAGGAUGAGGAAAUCGCGGUAACGUGGUGAUAUAGCAAUAUAUGGCGCGUCGAAGCGAUAAGGAAUACAGUAUUCGGCGAUAUAGCGCGAGGUAAAUACAACGCGUGGAAUCUGUCUAAGGAACGCAAGAUUAUGAAGGUGCAACGCACGCGAAGGUCCACGAGAAAUACAGCUUAUGCUAACACCACUCGGAGCGUUGUAAUGUGCGGCGAUAUAGCGCGAUACCAUGACUACAGCACUACACUAUAACACAGCAAUAUGACUCACAAAAGGACUUAAUAUCUAAUACAUAUAGAUACAUUAAAACUUGUCAAAAAUGCAAAUUAAUCUAGAUCUAAUAUCAAUUCUCGUUAACUUUGAUUUUCGUAUAAUUUCCGUUCCAGCUCUAAUCAGAGAUCCUUCGUCUUCGAAAUGACGUAUCGAUAUUAUCAGUUUUUAGCAUAUCAAGCUGCUUUCACGAGGCAAGAUACGUAUCUUUAAAUCCCGAACCCGUUAAUUCGAACUUUCCUUUGACCUCUCUCUCUGACGCGAAUCUCUCGUCAAAAUUCACAACGUCUCUGUCUUUAUCUCUUCGGGACAAGAUACGCCGAGUAUUCGAGCGUUUCUAUUGACUCGUUCUACUUUACGCUCCGGAGCGGCUCAGAUUAUCAUUUUAUCCAAGCGGCCUCUUAGGGACGAACUCGAUCAAUCACUAUUACCUAAGAUAUCUGUGUCAUUCCGGAGGAAAUAAACUGUUUGUUAAAAAGAAAUUACGGAAUAAAGGAACCACCUUGAAACUCGACGUCUGGAUAAAAAUGAGCGAAAUUAUUAAGUAGCUGUCAGAGAGAAGUGGCAUCAAUUUCGGGGAUCGGUGAAAUCCGCAAUUGGCCCACGUACGAAUCGUAAAUAAAGAUAACGAUUAUAUUGAGGUGUCGAGGGGAUCAUGCAAUGGGGACACAGUACCACGGUGCCUCGCCUUAAUUGGCCUGUAACCUUGUCACGUUGUCCGACACCAGCGAUACGCGUUGUUUGGCUCCCCUUUGCUCCAAUGUCACACUACAUCCGAAAAUUCUAACCGAUUCGUACAAUCGAGAGCGAAACACGCCGUAAUGAUGAUCAGCUGAAGAGAUAGCUUCAGGCUUUCGAUAAUGCUGUAAUAUUGACGAUGUUCUAUUAUGACAAAAAUCUUGAAAUGUUAACAACUGAUUGUUUGAAGUUUUCGUUACUGUUCGACUACUCUUCACUUUUUUAGAAAACAACUUGUCCGAUUAAUAUCUUUUCUCUGUUAUAACGAUAUUUAUUUCAAAUGUAUUAUACGGUACCAUUGUCUCAGUAGUAUAUCCUGAUAUAUAAUUUAUUCUUCAGAUCUCAGGCUUCACGCAGUAGCAAGUAAAUGAUUGGAGCCGGAAUUUGCUUAUGGAUGUUGAGGAAAAUAACUUUGGAAAAGGCGAUUUCACUUUCUUCCGGCUAUUUGCAGUGUUGAUGAAAUUUCUCGUUACGAAGAUCUGCGAUGAAGAACUCUCCACUUACUUUUUUGUUUUGACAAUUGUUUCUCGAUAUUAGUCGCUUUUUAUAAUGUCAUUGGUGGAACUACGUAGAAUAGUUUAUAUACCAUUUGGUAGUUCAUAUACUAUGCAUGACAAUACGUUGUAAUACCACACAUGAUAGUACCAUGUAUGCUAAUGUGAAGCGUGGUAAUAUCACGCGUGGGGAUACCACUUGUAACACUGUGCAUAGCAAUACAAUAACGCUAUACUUCAAGUUAUACUACUAAUUAAUAAUUCAAGUUAUACUACUUAUGACAACGUGGUAAUUUACAUAUUAAUGUGUCGUAACGCAAUAAGUAGAGCAACGCGUGGUAGUCUGUCGCGUGGUAAUAUCAAGAGCGUGUUGAUGCAACAG
Megachile rotundata (alfalfa leafcutting bee) is the source of this 6055-nucleotide unclassified non-coding RNA. The record is from RefSeq and is a predicted model, not a curated record. NCBI's taxonomy places the organism in Eukaryota, Metazoa, Arthropoda, Insecta, Hymenoptera, Megachilidae.